CCUACGGGAGGCAGCAGUGAGGAAUAUUGGUCAAUGGACGAGAGUCUGAACCAGCCAAGUAGCGUGAAGGAUGACUGCCCUAUGGGUUGUAAACUUCUUUUAUAUGGGAAUAAAAUGUUCCACGUGUGGGAUUUUGUAUGUACCAUAUGAAUAAGGAUCGGCUAACUCCGUGCCAGCAGCCGCGGUAAUACGGAGGAUCCGAGCGUUAUCCGGAUUUAUGGGGUUUAAAGGGAGCGUAGGUGGAUUGUUAAGUCAGUUUUGAAAGUUUGCGGCUCAACCGUAAAAUUGCAGUUGAAACUGGCAGUAUUGAGUACAGUAGAGGUGGGCGGAAUUAGUGGUGUAGCGGUGAAAUGCUUAGAUAUCACGAAGAACUCCGAUUGCGAAGGCAGCUCACUGGACUGCAACUGACACUGAGGCUCGAAAGUGUGGGUAUCAAACAGGAUUAGAUACCCUAGUAGUC
This 460-nucleotide ribosomal RNA is filed under the name uncultured bacterium. Its description in RNAcentral is "partial 16S ribosomal RNA". It matches the Rfam family "Bacterial small subunit ribosomal RNA", at positions 338 to 795 of the family's 1533-position model. The record is from RNAcentral.